ACUCAAAUGAAUUGACGGGGGCCCGCACAAGCGGCGGAGCAUGUUGCUUAAUUCGAUGCGACGCGAAGAACCUUACCUGGGUUGAACUACGCCGGAAAAGCCGUAGAGAUACGGUGUCCUUCGGGGCCGGCGAUAGGUGGUGCAUGGCUGUCGUCAGCUCGUGUCGUGAGAUGUUGGGUUAAGUCCCGCAACGAGCGCAACCCUCGUCCUAUGUUGCCAGCGGGUAAUGCCGGGGACUCGUAGGAGACUGCCGGGGUCAACUCGGAGGAAGGUGGGGAUGACGUCAAGUCAUCAUGCCCCUUACGUCCAGGGCUGCAAACAUGCUACAAUGGCCGGUACAAAGGGCUGCUAUCCCGCGAGGGUGAGCGAAUCCCAAAAAGCCGGUCUCAGUUCGGAUUGGAGUCUGCAACUCGACUCCAUGAAGUCGGAGUCGCUAGUAAUCCCGGAUCAGCAACGCCGGGGUGAAUACGUUCCCGGGCCUUGUACACACCGCCCGU
This 497-nucleotide ribosomal RNA is filed under the name uncultured bacterium. RNAcentral describes it as "partial 16S ribosomal RNA". It matches the Rfam family "Bacterial small subunit ribosomal RNA", at positions 899 to 1397 of the family's 1533-position model. The record is from RNAcentral.